This 253-nucleotide ribosomal RNA is filed under the name uncultured bacterium. RNAcentral describes it as "partial 16S ribosomal RNA". It matches the Rfam family "Bacterial small subunit ribosomal RNA", at positions 524 to 776 of the family's 1533-position model. The record is from RNAcentral.
UACGUAGGGCGCAAGCGUUGUCCGGAAUUAUUGGGCGUAAAGAGCUCGUAGGCGGUUUGUCGCGUCUGUCGUGAAAGCUUGGGGCUUAACCCCAAGUCUGCGGUGGAUACGGGCAGACUAGAGGCAGGUAGGGGAGAACGGAAUUCCCGGUGUAGCGGUGAAAUGCGUAGAGAUCGGGAGGAACACCCGUGGCGAAGGCGGCUCACUGGGCUGACCUUGACGCUGAGGCGCGAAGGCGUGGGGAGCGAACAGG